UUUAUCGGAGAGUUUGAUCCUGGCUCAGGACGAACGCUGGCGGCGUGCCUAAUACAUGCAAGUCGAGCGGACUGAUGGGAGCUUGCUCCCAUCAGUCAGCGGCGGACGGGUGAGUAACACGUGGGUAACCUGCCUGUAAGACUGGGAUAACUCCGGGAAACCGGGGCUAAUACCGGAUAACUCAUUUCCUCGCAUGAGGAAAUGUUGAAAGGUGGCUUUUAGCUAUCACUUACAGAUGGACCCGCGGCGCAUUAGCUAGUUGG
Molecule: ribosomal RNA, 263 nt
Filed under: Rossellomorea aquimaris
Lineage: Bacteria; Bacillati; Bacillota; Bacilli; Caryophanales; Bacillaceae
Also listed under: 1 other name
Description: Bacillus aquimaris partial 16S ribosomal RNA
Rfam family: Bacterial small subunit ribosomal RNA
Source: RNAcentral